UCAUCCUUGAAGGUGACG
This 18-nucleotide small nuclear RNA is filed under the name Arabidopsis thaliana (thale cress). RNAcentral's name for it is "snRNA_00894". The record is from RNAcentral. Lineage: Eukaryota; Viridiplantae; Streptophyta; Magnoliopsida; Brassicales; Brassicaceae.